GUUUUGUAGUUCAGUUAACCAAUGCAACCUUUGUAAUUGUCUUAACUUGGGGAAAGCUGGCUACUGACUUUCAAGUGAGAAUACUGAGACAAGGAACAAGGACUAUGAGUUCAUUGAUUCAUCUAGUUUCCAGAGGGAAGAAGAACAUAUUUUUUAUUAAUUCUGAAUAUUCAGUCUUACCUUUGAAACUCUGAUAGAAAAUGUGGUAAUUACAGCAUAAUAUGUUUACCUUCUUGAUAUUGGAAGUAAUUUUGUCACUGAAUACUUCUGUGUCUUGAGAUAUGAUGAAUUUAAUGUUCAUAUUAUGCAUUUAAAAGGU
RNAcentral lists this long non-coding RNA (319 nucleotides) under Homo sapiens (human). RNAcentral's name for it is "LHRI_LNC849.1". The record is from RNAcentral. Lineage: Eukaryota; Metazoa; Chordata; Mammalia; Primates; Hominidae.